RNAcentral lists this ribosomal RNA (254 nucleotides) under uncultured bacterium. Its description in RNAcentral is "partial 16S ribosomal RNA". It matches the Rfam family "Bacterial small subunit ribosomal RNA", at positions 524 to 776 of the family's 1533-position model. The record is from RNAcentral.
UACGGGGGGAGCAAGCGUUGUUCGGAUUUACUGGGCGUAAAGGGCGCGUAGGCGGCCACCGCAAGUCGACUGUGAAAUCUCCGGGCUUAACCCGGAAAGGUCAGCCGAUACUGCGGGGCUAGAGUGCAGAAGGGGCAACUGGAAUUCUCGGUGUAGCGGUGAAAUGCGUAGAUAUCAAGAGGAACACCUGAGGUGAAGACGGGUUGCUGGGCCAACACUGACGCUGAGGCGCGAAAGCCAGGGGAGCAAACGGG